GUUCUUCUCAAGCGAGUCUAGGAUAGUGGAAGCUAGAUGGGAGAUAGGGUAAUAAUUGGCACUUUCGUAAUGAGCCUAGCUCAAUUUUUUUUAAACAAAUGAAGUAAUAAAUUAGGGUGGAACCGCGUUUCAACG
RNAcentral lists this small RNA (135 nucleotides) under Streptococcus sobrinus TCI-56. Its description in RNAcentral is "Streptococcus sRNA SpR19". It matches the Rfam family "Streptococcus sRNA SpR19". Lineage: Bacteria; Bacillati; Bacillota; Bacilli; Lactobacillales; Streptococcaceae. The record is from Rfam by way of RNAcentral.